UGAGCAGGCUGGACGGCCGCGCCGCCUUCGGGCGGCGAGGAAAGUCCGAGCUCCAUAGGGCAGGACGCUUCGUAACGCGAAGGCGGGGAAACCCGACGGAGAGUGGCACAGAAAACUACACAGCCCACGUCCCGGUAUGCCGGGGCCGGCAAUGGUGAAAAGGUGCGGUAAGAGCGCACCAGCGGUCUGGUGACAGGCCGGCUGGCAAAACACCCGUCCGGAGCAAUUCCAAAUAGGGGAGCCAUGGAGUGGCCCGCUCCGCUCCCGGGUAGGAAGCUAGAGACGUACGGCGACGUACGCCCGAGAGGAAUGGCCGUCUCGGAAUCCUUGCGGAUUCUAUGACAGAACUCGGCUUACAGGCCUGCUCAUUUU
Molecule: RNase P RNA, 372 nt
Filed under: Candidatus Hydrogenedentota bacterium
Lineage: Bacteria; Pseudomonadati; Candidatus Hydrogenedentota
Description: Candidatus Hydrogenedentes bacterium (sediment metagenome) RNase P RNA component class A
Rfam family: Bacterial RNase P class A
About the family: Ribonuclease P (RNase P) is a ubiquitous endoribonuclease, found in archaea, bacteria and eukarya as well as chloroplasts and mitochondria. Its best characterised activity is the generation of mature 5'-ends of tRNAs by cleaving the 5'-leader elements of precursor-tRNAs.
Source: RNAcentral